UGUUGCUUGCAAGGGCGUAUGGUGGAUGCCUUGGCAGACAGGACCGAUGAAGGACGUUUGAGGCUGCGAUAUGCCUCGGGGAGCCGCCGACAGGGCUUUGAUCCGAGGAUUUCCGAAUGGGGGAACCCACCGACCGUCAUGGGUCGGUACCGGCUUCGGCCGGGGGGGUACGCAGGGAAGUGAAACAUCUCAGUACCUGCAGGAAAGGAUAUUCCGUGAGUAGUGGCGAGCGAAAGCGGAUGAUGGCCAAACCUUGCGCGUGUGAUACCCGUCGGGGGUUGCGCGCGGGGUGUUGCGGGAUCGCGUGCGCCGGCUCCGACGGGCCGGCCGGCAGUUGCAGAAAACCAUGUGUCAGGGGAACCGGGUUGAAUACCGGGCCGCAGAGGGUGAGGGCCCCGUACCUGAACGCGCAUGGUCUGCCGAUCGCGUCUCCCAAGUAGCACGGGUCCCGUGGAACCCCGUGCGAAUCCGCCCAGACCGUUGGGUAAGCCUGAAUAUUCCUGUCUGACCGAUAGCGAACGAGUACCGUGAGGGAAAGGUGAAAAGUACCCCGGGAGGGGAGUGAAACAGUCUCUGAAACCGUGCGCCUACAAUCCGUCGGAGCCCUUUUGUGGGGUGACGGCGUGCCUAUCGAAAAAUGAGUCUGCGAGUCAGUGGCAUGUGGCGAGCAUAACCCGUGUGGGGUAUGCGUAGCGAAGGCGAGUCUUAAAAGGCGUUUAAAGUCGCGUGUCCUGGACCCGAAGCGGGAUGAUCUAGCCCUGAGCAGGUUGAAGCGCGGGUAAGACCGUGUGGAGGACCGAACCCACCUGGGUUGAAAACCGGGGGGAUGACUUGGGGCUAGGGGUGAAAGGCCAAUCAAAUUCCGUGAUAGCUGGUUCUCUCCGAAAUGCAUUUGGGUGCAGCGUCGGGUCAUUACGUCCCGGGGGUAGAGCUACUGGAUGCUUGCGGGCCCGUAUCGGGUACCAACAGCAACCAAACUCCGAAUACCGGUGACGCGUAUCCCGGCAGUGAGUCGGCGGGGGAUAAGCUUCGUCGUCGAAAGGGAAACAGCCCAGACCGUCGUCUAAGGUCCCGAAGCGUGUGCUAAGUGGGAAAGGAUGUGGAGUCGCAUAGACAGCCAGGAGGUUGGCUCAGAAGCAGCCACCCUUGAAAGAG
RNAcentral lists this ribosomal RNA (1155 nucleotides) under Bifidobacterium longum. RNAcentral describes it as "bacterial LSU rRNA". It matches the Rfam family "Bacterial large subunit ribosomal RNA", at positions 1 to 1130 of the family's 2925-position model. The record is from RNAcentral. Lineage: Bacteria; Bacillati; Actinomycetota; Actinomycetes; Bifidobacteriales; Bifidobacteriaceae.